RNAcentral lists this ribosomal RNA (253 nucleotides) under uncultured bacterium. Its description in RNAcentral is "partial 16S ribosomal RNA". It matches the Rfam family "Bacterial small subunit ribosomal RNA", at positions 524 to 776 of the family's 1533-position model. The record is from RNAcentral.
UACGUAGGGGGCUAGCGUUGUCCGGAAUCAUUGGGCGUAAAGAGCGUGUAGGCGGUCCGGUAAGUCCGCUGUAAAAGUCGGGGGCUCAACCCUCGAAAGCCGGUGGAUACUGUCGGGCUAGAGUACGGAAGAGGCGAGUGGAAUUCCUGGUGUAGCGGUGAAAUGCGCAGAUAUCGGGAGGAACACCAAUGGCGAAGGCAGCUCGCUGGGACGUUACUGACGUUGAGACGCGAAAGCGUGGGGAGCGAACAGG